GGAAAUCUCUCCAGGCCCGGACACUGGAAGGGUUGACAGACUUAUAGCUCUUUCUUGAUUCUGUGGGUGGUGGUGCAUGGCCGUUCUUAGUUGGUUGAGUGAUUUGUCUGGUUAAUUCCGUUAACGAACGAGACCUUAACCUGCUAAAUAGUGACGCGGUUCAUCGAACCGUGGGCCACUUCUUAGAGGGACUAUCGGAUUCAAACCGAUGGAAGUGUGAGGCAAUAA
Molecule: ribosomal RNA, 228 nt
Filed under: uncultured eukaryote
Lineage: Eukaryota
Description: partial 18S ribosomal RNA
Rfam family: Eukaryotic small subunit ribosomal RNA
Source: RNAcentral